GACAUUCUAGUUGUUGAUGUU
This 21-nucleotide non-coding RNA is filed under the name Arabidopsis thaliana (thale cress). The record is from RNAcentral. Lineage: Eukaryota; Viridiplantae; Streptophyta; Magnoliopsida; Brassicales; Brassicaceae.